GACGAACGCUGGCGGCGUGCUUAACACAUGCGAGUCGAACGGAAAGGCCCUGCUUUUGUGGGGUGCUCGAGUGGCGAACGGGUGAGUAACACGUGAGUAACCUGCCCUUGACUUUGGGAUAACUUCAGGAAACUGGGGCUAAUACCGGAUAGGAGCUCCUGCCGCAUGGUGGGGGUUGGAAAGUUUCGGCGGUUGGGGAUGGACUCGCGGCUUAUCAGCUUGUUGGUGGGGUAGUGGCUUACCAAGGCUUUGACGGGUAGCCGGCCUGAGAGGGUGACCGGCCACAUUGGGACUGAGAUACGGCCCAGACUCCUACGGGAGGCAGCAGUGGGGAAUAUUGCACAAUGGGCGGAAGCCUGAUGCAGCAACGCCGCGUGCGGGAUGACGGCCUUCGGGUUGUAAACCGCUUUCGCCUGUGACGAAGCGUGAGUGACGGUAAUGGGUAAAGAAGCACCGGCUAACUACGUG
RNAcentral lists this ribosomal RNA (468 nucleotides) under uncultured bacterium. RNAcentral's name for it is "partial 16S ribosomal RNA". It matches the Rfam family "Bacterial small subunit ribosomal RNA", at positions 28 to 507 of the family's 1533-position model. The record is from RNAcentral.